Molecule: ribosomal RNA, 473 nt
Filed under: uncultured soil bacterium
Lineage: Bacteria
Description: bacterial SSU rRNA
Rfam family: Bacterial small subunit ribosomal RNA
Source: RNAcentral
AGAACGAACGCUGGCGGCAUGCCUAAUACAUGCAAGUCGAACGAACUCUUCGGAGUUAGUGGCGCACGGGUGCGUAACGCGUGGGAAUCUGCCCCUUGGUUCGGAAUAACAGUUGGAAACGACUGCUAAUACCGGAUGAUGACGAAAGUCCAAAGAUUUAUCGCCAAGGGAUGAGCCCGCGUAGGAUUAGCUAGUUGGUGAGGUAAAGGCUCACCAAGGCAACGAUCCUUAGCUGGUCUGAGAGGAUGAUCAGCCACACUGGGACUGAGACACGGCCCAGACUCCUACGGGAGGCAGCAGUAGGGAAUAUUGGACAAUGGGCGAAAGCCUGAUCCAGCAAUGCCGCGUGAGUGAUGAAGGCCUUAGGUUGUAAAGCACUUUUGGCAGGGAAGAAACGGCGUACCCGUUAAGUACGGGCGUCACUGACGGUACCUGACAGAAUAAGCACCGGCUAACUACGUGCCAGCAGCCGC